RNAcentral lists this ribosomal RNA (486 nucleotides) under uncultured bacterium. RNAcentral's name for it is "partial 16S ribosomal RNA". It matches the Rfam family "Bacterial small subunit ribosomal RNA", at positions 30 to 507 of the family's 1533-position model. The record is from RNAcentral.
AUUGAACGCUGGCGGCAUGCCUUACACAUGCAAGUCGAACGGCAGCACGGGUGCUUGCACCUGGUGGCGAGUGGCGAACGGGUGAGUAAUACAUCGGAACAUGUCCUGUAGUGGGGGAUAGCCCGGCGAAAGCCGGAUUAAUACCGCAUAGGAUCUACGGAUGAAAGCGGGGGACCUUCGGGCCUCGCGCUAUAGGGUUGGUCGAUGGCGGAUUAGCUAGUUGGUGGGGUAAAGGCCUACCAAGGCGACGAUCAGGAGCUGGUCUGAGAGGACGACCAGCCACACUGGAACUGAGACACGGCCCAGACUCCUACGGGAGGCAGCAGUGGGGAAUUUUGGACAAUGGGCGAAAGCCUGAUCCAGCAAUGCCGCGUGUGUGAAGAAGGCCUUCGGGUUGUAAAGCACUUUUGUCCGGAAAGAAAUCCUUGGCCCUAAUACGGUCGGGGGAUGACGGUACCGGAAGAAUAAGCACCGGCUAACUACGUG